UGGAUCAUCUACCUUUUAGUGGGGAAUAACCUUGGGAAACUAGGGAUAAUACCGCAUAAGCCCGAGAGGGGAAAGCAGCAAUGCGCUGAAAGAGGAGUCCGCGGCCGAUUAGCUAGUUGGCAGGGUAAAAGCCUACCAAGGCAUCGAUCGGUAGCCGGCCUGAGAGGGCACACGGCCACACUGGCACUGAAACACGGGCCAGACUCCUACGGGAGGCAG
Molecule: ribosomal RNA, 219 nt
Filed under: uncultured bacterium
Lineage: Bacteria
Description: partial 16S ribosomal RNA
Rfam family: Bacterial small subunit ribosomal RNA
Source: RNAcentral